UUCCUUGAGGCCCUANCCUUUUCGAGGGGGNCGUGGACUGUCGCUGGCUUCGGCUUUGCACGUCCGUCUUUCUCUUACUCUCACACCUAGAGGAUCUAUGUUUCAAUCAUCACACACAUCGUAUGUCUAGNAAUGUAUCAUGAUCGUCGUCCGACCUCGCGGUUGGAGGGUGGUCUAAAACAAAUACAACUUUCAGCAACKGAUCUCUUGGCUCUCGCAUCGAUGAAGAACGCAGCGAAUUGCGAUAAGUAAUGUGAAUUGCAGAUUUUCAGUGAAUCAUCGAAUCUUUGAACGCACCUUGCGCUCCUUGGUAUUCCGAGGAGCAUGCCUGUUUGAGUGUCAUGGAAUUCUCAACCAUGUCUUGAUUGACUUCGAGGCAUGGCUUGGAUGUGGGGGUUGCUGGCGGUGAAAGCUGUCGGCUCUCCUGAAAUGCAUUAGCGAUGGACAGCAAGUCUGACGUGCACGGCCUCGACGUGAUAAUGAUCGUCGUAGCUGGAGCGUCGGACGAGCGCAAUAUGUCCCUUUGCUUCCAAUCCUUUGACUUGGGAAUAGGACUUUCGAGCGAAGCUUUAGUUACUAGUCGGUCGUGAGGCCGACGAACGCAGGGCGGGAUCGAAGGUCGGGAAGCCCUCGUCU
This 636-nucleotide ribosomal RNA is filed under the name uncultured Xerocomus. RNAcentral describes it as "eukaryotic LSU rRNA". The stretch from base 188 to 342 matches the Rfam family "5.8S ribosomal RNA". The record is from RNAcentral. Lineage: Eukaryota; Fungi; Basidiomycota; Agaricomycetes; Boletales; Boletaceae.